This 475-nucleotide ribosomal RNA is filed under the name uncultured Pseudomonadota bacterium. Its description in RNAcentral is "bacterial SSU rRNA". It matches the Rfam family "Bacterial small subunit ribosomal RNA", at positions 35 to 483 of the family's 1533-position model. Lineage: Bacteria; Pseudomonadati; Pseudomonadota. The record is from RNAcentral.
GCUGGCGGCGUGCUUAACACAUGCAAGUACGAACGACGAAAGUCCCCUUCGGGGGGUGAGUAGAGUGGCGCACGGGUGAGUAACGCGUAGGUAAUCUACCCUUAUGUUCGGGAUAACAUCGGGAAACCGGUGCUAAUACCGGAUGAAUUCUUAAAGACGCGAGUUUUAAAGAGGAAAGCUGCCCUCUGAUUUAAGGUAGCGCAUGGGGACGAGCCUGCGUACCAUUAGCUAGUAGGUGGGGUAAUGGCCCACCUAGGCGACGAUGGUUAGCGGGUCUGAGAGGAUGAUCCGCCACACUGGAACUGGAACACGGACCAGACUCCUACGGGAGGCAGCAGUGAGGAAUUUUGCGCAAUGGGGGAAACCCUGACGCAGCGACGCCGCGUGAGUGAAGAAGGCCUUCGGGUCGUAAAGCUCUGUCAGAAGGGAAGAAGUGCUGAGUGGUUAAUACCCAUUUGGUUUGACGGUACCUUCA